ACCUUGUUGCUUGGGCGGGCCCGCCUUAACUGGCCGCCGGGGGGCUUACGCCCCCGGGCCCGCGCCCGCCGAAGACACCCUCGAACUCUGUCUGAAGAUUGUAGUCUGAGUGAAAAUAUAAAUUAUUUAAAACUUUCAACAACGGAUCUCUUGGUUCCGGCAUCGAUGAAGAACGCAGCGAAAUGCGAUACGUAAUGUGAAUUGCAAAUUCAGUGAAUCAUCGAGUCUUUGAACGCACAUUGCGCCCCCUGGUAUUCCGGGGGGCAUGCCUGUCCGAGCGUCAUUGCUGCCCUCAAGCACGGCUUGUGUGUUGGGCCCCGUCCUCCGACCCGGGGGACGGGCCGAAAGGAGCGGCGGACCGCGUCCGGUCCUCGAGCGUAUGGGGCUUUGUCACCCGCUCUGUAGGCCGGCCGGCGCUUGCGAUCAACCAAAUUUUAU
This 438-nucleotide unclassified non-coding RNA is filed under the name Penicillium chrysogenum. RNAcentral's name for it is "sequence contains 18S rRNA gene, ITS1, 5.8S rRNA gene, 28S rRNA gene". The stretch from base 131 to 283 matches the Rfam family "5.8S ribosomal RNA". The record is from RNAcentral. Lineage: Eukaryota; Fungi; Ascomycota; Eurotiomycetes; Eurotiales; Aspergillaceae.